Non-coding RNA from Triticum aestivum (bread wheat), 135 nucleotides. NCBI's taxonomy places the organism in Eukaryota, Viridiplantae, Streptophyta, Magnoliopsida, Poales, Poaceae. The record is from Rfam.
AUUCUACUCCCUCCGUUGCACAAUACAUGUCUUCUAUUUGUCAAAAUAUAUAUGUAUCUAGACAUGUUUUAGUAUAUAGGUACAUCCAUUUUUGGAAAAUGGAAGUCAAGUAUUUUGGAACGGAGGGAGUACACA